AAAUGAAAUAAGGAGGGGAAGGGGACAGAAGAUAAACAGGGAGGGAGGAUAAAGGGGAGAACAUGAGAGCGGCAAGUUAAAGUGGUCACUAGAGCAGUAGACAGAAGGAAAGCGAGGAAUAUAAGGCAAGGGAAAGGUUAAGAAGAAGGUAAGAAGACAGCCUACGUGACUUCCAACAUCUAAGUGUGGACAGAGGAGACUAUCUGUAAAAAAGGAGAAGAAAUGGUCAUGAGGAAAGAGGGAGGUAGUGAAUUUUCAUCAUGGAAGCCAAAAGUAAAUUUUUGAAAGAAGGAUGUUUGAUAUAAGUGAUAUCUAAAAUUGCCAAGAAGAUCAAUUAUGAUGAUAAGUGAACAUUCAGUUGAAGUUUAAGAACAGAUACAACUCUGUAAUGGUGACAGCAGCCAUCGGAGUGGUUACGCGGAACUGCUCUCUGGGUUGUCCAUACUGAAUAGAGUGUUUGUCAUGAAAAGCUAAAAUCCGUAUCUUGAAGAAAACCUACCACGUAAAGAUGUUCCCUAGAAGAACCAUCAUGAUGAAAGGCUUGCAGCUGUAGUGUAACUCGCUUCUGGAUGCUUCAUUUUAUUUCUAUGGCCACCACUAUUUGUCUGGUUGUUUAUAGAAGCCGAGAAGCAGAACCCCUAUGGCUGAAGACUGGUCCUGAUAGAAAUUCUUCUUCUAAUCUCUGCAAACCUGGAAGAUGUUCAGGUCACCCUGUAAAUGAUUCAAAGCCAGAUACUAUGUAAUGUUACAUUUUUCCUCUAAAAUUCAGUCUGUAAACAAA
Macaca mulatta (Rhesus monkey) is the source of this 781-nucleotide non-coding RNA. The record is from RefSeq and is a predicted model, not a curated record. Lineage: Eukaryota; Metazoa; Chordata; Mammalia; Primates; Cercopithecidae.